This 491-nucleotide ribosomal RNA is filed under the name uncultured bacterium. Its description in RNAcentral is "bacterial SSU rRNA". It matches the Rfam family "Bacterial small subunit ribosomal RNA", at positions 8 to 526 of the family's 1533-position model. The record is from RNAcentral.
AGAGUUUGAUCAUGGCUCAGGACAAACGCUGGCGGCGUGUAUUAGGCAUGCAAGUCGCACGGACACUUCGGUGUCAGUGGCGGACGGGUGAGUAACACGUGGGUAACCUGCCCUGCAGUGGGGAAUAACUCGCCGAAAGGCGAGCUAAUACCGCAUACCACUCCUGGUGAGAGUCCAGGUAGUAAAAGCCGUAAGGCGCUGUAGGAGGGGCUCGCGCCCGAUUAGCUUGUUGGUGGGGUAACGGCCUACCAAGGCGACGAUCGGUAGCUGGUCUGAGAGGAUGGUCAGCCACACGGGGACUGAGAUACGGCCCCGACUCCUACGGGAGGCAGCAGCUAAGAAUCUUGCGCAAUGGGCGAAAGCCUGACGCAGCAACGCCGCGUGGGGGACGAAGGCCCUCGGGUCGUAAACCCCUUUUGCGAGGGAAGAAGUUCUGACGGUACCUCGCGAAUAAGCCACGGCUAACUACGUGCCAGCCGCCGCGGUAAUAC